CGAGUCUUAACUGGGCGUUAAGUUGCAGGGUAUAGACCCGAAACCCGGUGAUCUAGCCAUGGGCAGGUUGAAGGUUGGGUAACACUAACUGGAGGACCGAACCGACUAAUGUUGAAAAAUUAGCGGAUGACUUGUGGCUGGGGGUGAAAGGCCAAUCAAACCGGGAGAUAGCUGGUUCUCCCCGAAAGCUAUUUAGGUAGCGCCUCGUGAAUUCAUCUCCGGGGGUAGAGCACUGUUUCGGCAAGGGGGUCAUCCCGACUUACCAACCCGAUGCAAACUGCGAAUACCGGAGAAUGUUAUCACGGGAGACACACGGCGGGUGCUAACGUCCGUCGUGAAGAGGGAAACAACCCAGACCGCCAGCUAAGGUCCCAAAGUCAUGGUUAAGUGGGAAACGAUGUGGGAAGGCCCAGACAGCCAGGAUGUUGGCUUAGAAGCAGCCAUCAUUUAAAGAAAGCGUAAUAGCUCACUGGUCGAGUCGGCCUGCGCGGAAGAUGUAACGGGGCUAAACCA
RNAcentral lists this ribosomal RNA (513 nucleotides) under Escherichia coli. RNAcentral's name for it is "partial 23S ribosomal RNA". It matches the Rfam family "Bacterial large subunit ribosomal RNA", at positions 678 to 1189 of the family's 2925-position model. The record is from RNAcentral. Lineage: Bacteria; Pseudomonadati; Pseudomonadota; Gammaproteobacteria; Enterobacterales; Enterobacteriaceae.